CAGGCCUAACACAUGCAAGUCGAACGCACCUUCGGGUGAGUGGCAGACGGGUGAGUAACACGUGGGAACGUGCCCUUCGGUUCGGAAUAACUCAGGGAAACUUGAGCUAAUACCGGAUACGCCCCCAGGGGGAAAGGUUUACUGCCGAAGGAUCGGCCCGCGUCUGAUUAGCUAGUUGGUGGGGUAAUGGCCUACCAAGGCGACGAUCAGUAGCUGGUCUGAGAGGAUGAUCAGCCACACUGGGACUGAGACACGGCCCAGACUCCUACGGGAGGCAGCAGUGGGGAAUAUUGGACAAUGGGCGAAAGCCUGAUCCAGCCAUGCCGCGUGAGUGAUGAAGGCCUUAGGGUUGUAAAGCUCUUUUACCCGGGAAGAUAAUGACGGUAACCGGAGAAGAAGCCCCGGCUAACUUCGUGCCAGCAGCCGCGGU
This 430-nucleotide ribosomal RNA is filed under the name uncultured bacterium. RNAcentral's name for it is "bacterial SSU rRNA". It matches the Rfam family "Bacterial small subunit ribosomal RNA", at positions 43 to 521 of the family's 1533-position model. The record is from RNAcentral.